RNAcentral lists this long non-coding RNA (513 nucleotides) under Parus major (Great Tit). Its description in RNAcentral is "lncRNA (ENSPMJG00000014569.1)". Lineage: Eukaryota; Metazoa; Chordata; Aves; Passeriformes; Paridae. The record is from RNAcentral.
AUGGAAACACUACAACAUCACUAUCCAGGCCAGAAUUAUGGAAAAGAUGAAUCAGAUUCUUCAGAUGAUCUGUCAUCUUUGUAUCACUCUGAGAGAGGGGAAGUGGGUGCUCUGAGUGUGAGUUUCAGUGAUGACCCAAAGGUGCAAAUACUGAUGAAAAAGAAGAGCCACAUCACCGUGAGCUUGGCAGGCAGGGAGCACCAACCCUCACCUGGAAGUCUGCUGCCAUCCAGAGCAGUCUGGGACAGAGGGACAUCAAUGAGCCAAGAGGGAUGCCAAAAAUUGGUGAGAAGGAUUUGUAAGGAACUGCCUCCUUGAAAAGUCUUGGUUCUGCUGAAACCAAAUUACAUGGCAAACAUUCAACUUGGUUUCACCUGAAUUUUCUUUUGAAAGAAAGAAAGGAAAAAAAUGUCAAAAUAAUCGAUUUUAACAUUAAUGUGGGUUCAUUUUUCAUGUGAAAUUAUUUUUUGCUUUUGUAUUACAUUUUCUCUAAUAAAGUUAUUUAUUACAGCA